RNAcentral lists this ribosomal RNA (325 nucleotides) under uncultured eukaryote. RNAcentral's name for it is "partial 18S ribosomal RNA". It matches the Rfam family "Eukaryotic small subunit ribosomal RNA", at positions 1470 to 1796 of the family's 1831-position model. The record is from RNAcentral.
CCCUUAGAUGUUCUGGGCCGCACGCGCGCUACACUGAUGCAUUCAACGAGUUUUUCCUUGGCCGAGAGGCUUGGGCAAUCUUUUAAACGUGCAUCGUGAUAGGGAUAGAUUAUUGCAAUUAUUAAUCUUGAACGAGGAAUUCCUAGUAAACGCAGAUCAUCAAUCUGCAUUGAUUACGUCCCUGCCCUUUGUACACACCGCCCGUCGCACCUACCGAUUGAAUGGUCCGGUGAAGCCUCGGGAUUGUGGCGAGUUCCCUUUAUUGGGAGUUUGUCGCGAGAACUUGUCUAAACCUUAUCAUUUAGAGGAAGGUGAAGUCGUAACA